RNAcentral lists this ribosomal RNA (301 nucleotides) under uncultured Paenibacillus sp. RNAcentral describes it as "bacterial SSU rRNA". It matches the Rfam family "Bacterial small subunit ribosomal RNA", at positions 495 to 795 of the family's 1533-position model. Lineage: Bacteria; Bacillati; Bacillota; Bacilli; Caryophanales; Paenibacillaceae. The record is from RNAcentral.
CGCUGUCCUCGUGCCAGCGGCGGGGUUAAGACGGGGUUGGCAAUCGUUAAUCGUAAGGUCUGGGCGUAAAGCGUGCGGAGUUUGUUGGUUAAGCGGGUUGUGAAAGCUCCGGUCGUAACCUGGGAACUGCAUUUCGAACUGGCAAUCGAGAGUACAGUAGAGGGUGGCGGAAUUUUCUGUGUAGCGGUGAAAUGCUUAGAUAUUAGGAGGAACACCAGUGGCGAAGGCGACUUACUGGACUGUUAUUGUCACUGAGGCACGAAAGCGUGGGGAGCGAACAGGAUUAGAUCCCCGAGUAGUC